CGUCCUCCUCCCUCUCGGAUCAGUCCGCAUGUUCACGGUGCAUUUUUUAUGGAAUAUGUUGAGCAAACCUGGAGAAGCGUCAGUUCAAGAUAUUAUUGUUGUCAUUGCUGUGGAUCUUUACCUGAUACACUGACUUGGUGAGUAAAUGUUUACUCUUAUUCAAACUGAUUUUGUGGCUUCUCUUAGUUUAGCACCAGGUUUAAAAUCUUGCUAGCUAGUUAGUGUUAGCCUAGCGUUGCUGCUGCCGCUGGGCUCAUCUUACUUAAAAAUGAACACCACAGCCUUAAAAACCUUACAUAAAACUAUGUGGUGAAAUUUUCUGUUGAUUGUUUGAAAUAAAUAAGUGAGAUAAGAGCCCAGACAAAAUACUUCGGGAGGUGCAGCCGUUAGGGGUGGGGUAGGUGUGGGGGGUGGAUAACAGAGCUCUCCGAAAAACGUGGAAGCACUUUUGCAAAUAUGUGAUAUUUUGAUAAAUUAAGUAGAUAUUUGAGCAUUACAUAGCUACAUUGUCGCCUGAAAAUAUCUUAAAAGGUUAUUUUGUGACCCAGAAAGGGUAGUCUGGGGAAAAGGAGGAUCGCAUUUGUCGGCCACGGUUGUCGGAGCCUGUGCGUACUUGUAAGCGCGGCAAUGGCGGAGGAGCGCCGCUGAAAAACUUAUUACUUUUUCUGGGUCACAAAAUAAACUUUUAAGAUAUUUUCAGGCGAGAAUGUAGCUGUGUAAAUUUCAAAUAUCUGCUUGAUUUAUCAAGACAUCACAUAUUUGCAAAAAUGCUCCGACGUUUUCGGAGACGUCUAUUUUUUUUUUUUUUUUCAUGCUUUGUGGCAGGUUUAGAACAUCUGUGGCAUCUAUUAAUGUCAAAUCUAGCCUUUAUUUAACAACAUAAGCAAACUCUAUGUUACAAUGAUUGCACAGCCAUUAAGGAUCAAAUCAGUUUCUGAAAAAUGUUCUGUUUUUUCUCCCUCUGCUUGCUUCUUACUGUCUUUGAGGCUCGGGACCAGCACUCCUGUUGUUGGACAGAAAGACAUCAACUCAGUGACUUGAGAUAUGACUGCACUAUGGUGUUGCUGAUCACUCCAGUUAAUUCUACAAGACAUGCUGUGACAACAGGAGAGAUGAGUCCUCCGUCACAGAUGGUGUGGUCAGUGAAGAUGGUCGCCUGCAGGUUCAAGCUCAUUGCAUCUCCAACCCACAUCCACUGCCACUGUACUUAAGGGAAGUUAAAGACUUUCUUCUGCACCUACAUUUGGAUCACCUCGAUCCAUGACAGUCAUUCAGGCAGUAAUGCCUGGACUGGAAACAAGCCAUCCUUAAAAUAAUACAACAUUCCAGCUCAUGUGUUGGAAUGGAAAACAAAUGUGUUGUUUAAAUCAGAGACUGCACUUGUGACAGAACAACAAAUAUUUUAUUUUGAUUAUAUAAGUAAUGUAAGUACAAAACAAACUGUGGUAGACCUAAACUUAUUUUCAGAAUAAUUAAAUCUGAGACUUUGUUUCAUUGUAAGAUUAUAACAGUGAUGGCAAUAUAAUUGUUUGUUGUUCAGCAGAACAGUGUCCAGUAUGUUGGCUGUUAUACUUUGUUGUGUUUGAAAAUAAAAGUUGGGCUGAUUUUAACAUCAUUACAAAAAUUGUUGUUAAUUAUUUUUAAUCAUAUUCAGGUUACCACAAAUUGUUUUUUCAUUUAGUUGAACUUAACAUGUUUGUCAGUAGGUAAACAAUUAGUAUUGUACAGUCAGAAAUAUCAAGUUAUUGUUAAUACUGCAGACUUGCAAUGUAUAAGUUGUCCUAACAGUCAUCUUAAGUAAGCUUUACUUAGUUUUUUUGAGGCAACGAGUUUCCAUAAUUUUUUUGAGUUCUGGGAACUAACAAGGCUGUACAGUGUACUCAAAAUGAGUAAGUUGCCCUAACUUGGUCAUCUUACGUAACCUUGAUCCAAUUUUUUUGAGUUCUGGGAACAAAUGAGCUUGUACACAGUACUCAAAGUAAAUAAGUUGUCCUAACUUAGUCAUUU
Long non-coding RNA from Oreochromis aureus, 2007 nucleotides. NCBI's taxonomy places the organism in Eukaryota, Metazoa, Chordata, Actinopteri, Cichliformes, Cichlidae. The record is from Ensembl.